RNAcentral lists this long non-coding RNA (704 nucleotides) under Carassius auratus (goldfish). RNAcentral describes it as "lncRNA (ENSCARG00000031900.1)". Lineage: Eukaryota; Metazoa; Chordata; Actinopteri; Cypriniformes; Cyprinidae. The record is from RNAcentral.
UUUGUAAAUAAAUUCUGAAUUUCACUCAUUGGUAGACAUGCUACAAUGUACGUUAAAGACCAUUGUAUGUACCAUGGUACAUUGAUUUUUAUAAAAUAAAAAAUAAAAAAUGUAGCAUGACAUUGUUUGACUGGAAGAUAUGCGUCUGUAUUUCAGCUCCUUGUAUGCCUCGUAACAUUCGGGCACUCAUGGACUGUCAGUCUGGUGUGGCUAUAUUGUCGUGGCAGUCAAGCACUGGGGCGUUGCAAUACACAGCCACAGCAGUAAGUGAGUCUGGCCAUGUACUCAGCUGUGAAAAUAACUUAACUAACUGUGAGCUGACCGGACUGGCCUGUGGUGAGAGCUACAACAUCACUGUGUUAGCAGAAGGACAGACCUGUAGCAGCACUGCAACCAUGAGUGGACACCUGAAUACAGGUCCUUGCCCACCUCAGAAUGUUGAAGUGCAGUAUGGCGUGUCUAUUGGCCAGCUGUCAUGGGACAGAAGUAAAGGUGCUUCCAUGUACACAGCACAGGCUGCCACUGAUCUGGGAUCAGUGCUGUCCUGCUCCACCAGUGACACCUCCUGUGCCCUCUAUAAUGUGUCCUGCAGUCAGACAUAUGACAUCACUGUGACAGCACACAACAACGUCUGCCAAGGAGCUGCUGUGUCUGCAUCAACUACUUUAAACACAGGUUCAUUAAAUUUGCAACUUUACCAGUGA